This 65-nucleotide transfer RNA is filed under the name Dipodomys ordii (Ord's kangaroo rat). It matches the Rfam family "tRNA". Rfam says of the family: Transfer RNA (tRNA) molecules are approximately 80 nucleotides in length. Their secondary structure includes four short double-helical elements and three loops (D, anti-codon, and T loops). Further hydrogen bonds mediate the characteristic L-shaped molecular structure. tRNAs have two regions of fundamental functional importance: the anti-codon, which is responsible for specific mRNA codon recognition, and the 3' end, to which the tRNAs corresponding amino acid is attached (by aminoacyl-tRNA synthetases). tRNAs cope with the degeneracy of the genetic code in two manners: having more than one tRNA (with a specific anti-codon) for a particular amino acid; and 'wobble' base-pairing, i.e. permitting non-standard base-pairing at the 3rd anti-codon position. Lineage: Eukaryota; Metazoa; Chordata; Mammalia; Rodentia; Heteromyidae. The record is from Rfam by way of RNAcentral.
GGUGGCUCAGUGGUAGAGUGCUUGCCUUGCAUGCCAGAAGCCCUGGGUUCGAUUCCUCAGCACCA